CUCUCACUCGGGCAUCAAGAAGCCCUUCUUUGAAGUUGCCCUCCAGACGAUAGAAAGGCCCUAUUUUCCUCUGCCACUCUCAAUCCUCGUAGGUGUGAAAAUUUUGAGGCUGGUGGUAAAGCUGUUUGCUUUCAAGGCUAGGCUUAGGGUUUCUUCUUCUCAAAGGGUUAACCAAUGGUAUGUUGGAGAUGAGGAUGCAUUUUUCGGUAACAUUCAAAAGUUAGCUUAAGAAUAUUUAGAUGAAAUUCUUUAACAUAGACUUAAACUUUUCCAGAAUUAUUUAGUUUUAAAAAAAAAAUAAAUUAAUCCUUAAUUUUUAAUACAUAGAUGUUAGUUAGUUUUUUCUUCCAUUGUUAAUAGCAAAUUAGAAAUUAUUCUGGAUAAGCCCUUUAAUUUAUUUGAACAGAGGUUAAUUUAUUCUGGAUAAAUUAUUCUUCAAAAUACUAAUACCUCUGUUAUGUUGGAUUAAACGGCUAAUUUGACUCAAAAUUCUUUCCCAAAUUCCGAUAAAACAUUAUCUCUGCAAUGUGGGUGGCCAUGGGUGACCUAACUUAUUGGUCUAACAAACUUGUUGGCUAACAUGGAGGAGUGGCUGGCCUAACCUUUUGGUCUACCAAACUUGUUGCCUAACUGACUAUUUGGCCUACCGAACUUAAAAGGUACCGGCUAGGCAUUUGGCUAACAUGAAUAUUUUUAGAAAAGAGGGCUAGCUUUGCCUUGAGGAGUCGUGUAAAUUCUUGCAAAAUCUUAUUGCCUUUGAUGAGUGUCCUAUGAAGCCCUGUCAAGAAUUCCUUUCUCUUUGAAACAUUUUGACAGGCUUUGUAUUUGAAUUAUACUCAUGGUUCCCAAUAUCUGUCCAGAUGAGUAACAAUCCAGUCCUGACUUAGAUGUGAGUCACUGACUUGCGUGUUGGACACAAUCUUUUGGGCCGAUACUUCAAACCAUGAUUACAUUCCAAAUACAGCCUACCAAAUAGGUUCAAAGAGAAAAAGAAUACUGAAUAAGCUUGUACAGGAAACUCCGCAUAAAUACGAUUUCACAAGAAUUUAUAAGACUCAACAAACGCAAACUACUACUUAAAUAUCCCUGUUAGCCAAAAAUUCAGCAUGAAUACAGAUGCUAAGAUUUACAAAGAAGCUGGGAGGCUUCUAAGCAUAUGCUCUUAUCAGGGUACCACUGUCUAAAAGGUUCAUGAGAUAAGUCUGCUGCUCCAUAUCUUAAGCAGUUCAGCUAGCAUGAAGAUCUUGUCAUAUGCUUGAGGCAUUGAGUAGUGGACUAUCGCAUGAAGUCUUUAGGCAGUAAUGAGCCAUUAAAUUUGUGGAUUCAUGUGCAGAGAACAAGGCCAGUGCUUAUAUUUCCAGAGAAGAACAUCUUUCAUGGAGACACUGAGAGAUGGCUGGCAUAUCAGCCAUCUACCCUGGUGAUGCUUAUGCUAAAAAGGACCAGAUGGUGAGUCCCCAUCCUAGAGAUGAAGAUUACUGGAAGAGCUAGGACAUUUUGAGACAAGGCACAUAGGCAGCAUUCCAGGAAAUCAGGGUCCUAUUGAUACCCGAAGUCACGUAGAAAACAUUAAACAUUGUUGUGAUUCCAAGUUAACUUUCACUGAAAUGAUAACAUACAUUUUCGAAUAAGAAAUGCUGAAUCUUAUGACAA
This is a long non-coding RNA of Vitis vinifera (wine grape), 1653 nucleotides long. RefSeq lists it as uncharacterized. The transcript has 3 exons. NCBI's taxonomy places the organism in Eukaryota, Viridiplantae, Streptophyta, Magnoliopsida, Vitales, Vitaceae. The record is from RefSeq and is a predicted model, not a curated record.